This 459-nucleotide ribosomal RNA is filed under the name uncultured bacterium. RNAcentral's name for it is "partial 16S ribosomal RNA". It matches the Rfam family "Bacterial small subunit ribosomal RNA", at positions 338 to 795 of the family's 1533-position model. The record is from RNAcentral.
CCUACGGGUGGCAGCAGUGAGGAAUAUUGGUCAAUGGGCGCGAGCCUGAACCAGCCAAGUCGCGUGAGGGAAGACGGUCCUAUGGAUUGUAAACCUCUUUUGUCGGGGAGCAACAGACGCCACGCGUGGCGUUCCGAGAGUACCCGAAGAAAAAGCAUCGGCUAACUCCGUGCCAGCAGCCGCGGUAAGACGGAGGAUGCGAGCGUUAUUCGGAUUUAUUGGGUUUAAAGGGUGCGCAGGCGGGAGAUCCAGUCAGCGGUAAAAUUGAGGGGCUCAACCUCUUCGAGCCGUUGAAACUGGUUGUCUUGAGUGAGUGAGAAGUAUGCGGAAUGCGUGGUGUAGCGGUGAAAUGCAUAGAUAUCACGCAGAACUCCGAUUGCGAAGGCAGCAUACCGGCGCUCAACUGACGCUCAUGCACGAAAGUGUGGGUAUCGAACAGGAUUAGAUACCCUUGUAGUC